GACGAACGCUGGCGGCGUGCUUAACACAUGCAAGUCGAACGGAAAGGCCCUGCUUUUGUGGGGUGCUCGAGUGGCGAACGGGUGAGUAACACGUGAGUAACCUGCCCUUGACUUUGGGAUAACUUCAGGAAGCUGGGGCUAAUACCGGAUAGGAGCUCCUGCUGCAUGGUGGGGGUUGGAAAGUUUCGGCGGUUGGGGAUGGACUCGCGGCUUAUCAGCUUGUUGGUGGGGUAGUGGCUUACCAAGGCUUUGACGGGUAGCCGGCCUGAGAGGGUGACCGGCCACAUUGGGACUGAGAUACGGCCCAGACUCCUACGGGAGGCAGCAGUGGGGAAUAUUGCACAAUGGGCGGAAGCCUGAUGCAGCAACGCCGCGUGCGGGAUGACGGCCUUCGGGUUGUAAACCGCUUCCGCCUGUGACGAAGCGUGAGUGACGGUAAUGGGUAAAGAAGCACCGGCUAACUACGUG
This 468-nucleotide ribosomal RNA is filed under the name uncultured bacterium. Its description in RNAcentral is "partial 16S ribosomal RNA". It matches the Rfam family "Bacterial small subunit ribosomal RNA", at positions 28 to 507 of the family's 1533-position model. The record is from RNAcentral.